UGGGGAAUUUUGGACAAUGGGCGAAAGCCUGAUCCAGCAAUGCCGCGUGUGUGAAGAAGGCCUUCGGGUUGUAAAGCACUUUUGUCCGGAAAGAAAUCCUUGGCUCUAAUACAGUCGGGGGAUGACGGUACCGGAAGAAUAAGCACCGGCUAACUACGUGCCAGCAGCCGCGGUAAUACGUAGGGUGCAAGCGUUAAUCGGAAUUACUGGGCGUAAAGCGUGCGCAGGCGGUUUGCUAAGACCGAUGUGAAAUCCCCGGGCUCAACCUGGGAACUGCAUUGGUGACUGGCAGGCUAGAGUAUGGCAGAGGGGGUAGAAUUCCACGUGUAGCAGUGAAAUGCGUAGAGAUGUGGAGGAAUACCGAUGGCGAAGGCAGCCCCUGGGCCAAUACUGACGCUCAUGCACGAAAGCGUGGGGAGCAAACAGGAUUAGAUACCCUGGUAGUCCACGCCCUAAAGCGAUGUCAACUAGUUGUUGGGGAUUCAUUUCCUUGUAACGUAGCUAACGCGUGAAGUUGACCGCCUGGGGAGUACGGUCGCAAGAUU
This 545-nucleotide ribosomal RNA is filed under the name uncultured bacterium. Its description in RNAcentral is "partial 16S ribosomal RNA". It matches the Rfam family "Bacterial small subunit ribosomal RNA", at positions 355 to 895 of the family's 1533-position model. The record is from RNAcentral.